AAAAAAAAAAAAUAGUGAUCAUUGCUAUUGUCAUCAUUGAAAUUUCUUUAAAGGACAAGAACAAGAAUGCAACACAAGAAAACCAUUAUUGUGAUGUACAAACUACGAUUCAUAACUUGUUGCUCAAUCUCAGUGAUGGAAGUCGCCCAUUACAAAUAAAAGAAUAUUCCAUUUCAUGAAGAAACGUCUGGAUAUACAGCAUGGUAGCUCUCACUGUAACAUCAUUUUAAUGUCCCUGAGCCACACCAAACUGACUAUGGAAAUGACAGAAUAUUUGCAUGCACAUUUGAAUUUGUCUUGACAUCAAGUAAUAUGCUACUUUUUCCACUGUUUCCUCAAACGAUUUGUAUAAAAAGCAAACAUUGAAGACGGUUUUCACUUUCCUUUUGAUUAUGUUAUUUCCUGGAUAUUCACAAGCCAUAGUUUGCUUUAAGAAUGAUAGAGAAACCUUUGCAGGCAAAAAUGUGGCAUUUGCUUUUUGAUUAGGAGCAACUUCCUCAAUCAUGGUA
RNAcentral lists this unclassified non-coding RNA (509 nucleotides) under Hevea brasiliensis (rubber tree). The record is from RNAcentral. Lineage: Eukaryota; Viridiplantae; Streptophyta; Magnoliopsida; Malpighiales; Euphorbiaceae.